GACAUGACUCUUGGCAAUGGAUAUCUCGGCUCUCGCAUCGAUGAAGAGCGCAGCGAAAUGCGAUACGUGGUGCGAAUUGCAGAAUCCCGCGAACCAUCGAGUCUUUGAACGCAAGUUGCGCCCGAGGCCAAACGGCUGAGGGCACGUCUGCCUGGGCGUCAAGC
Molecule: ribosomal RNA, 164 nt
Filed under: Dendrobium capituliflorum
Lineage: Eukaryota; Viridiplantae; Streptophyta; Magnoliopsida; Asparagales; Orchidaceae
Description: 5.8S ribosomal RNA
Rfam family: 5.8S ribosomal RNA
About the family: 5.8S ribosomal RNA (5.8S rRNA) is a component of the large subunit of the eukaryotic ribosome. It is transcribed by RNA polymerase I as part of the 45S precursor that also contains 18S and 28S rRNA.
Source: RNAcentral